GAUGAAGAACGCAGCGAAAUGCGAAAAGUAAUGUGAAUUGCAGAAUUCAGUGAAUCAUCGAAUCUUUGAACGCACAUUGCGCCCGCCAGUAUUCUGGCGGGCAUGCCUGUCUGAGCGUCAUUUCAACCCUCACGCCCCUAGGGCGUGGUGUUGGGGAUCGGCCAGCGCCCGCGAGGGUAAGGCCGUCCCCCAAAUCUAGUGGCGGACCCGUCGUGGCCUCCCCUGCGAAGUAGUGAUAUUCCGCAUAGGAGAGCGACGAGCCCCUGCCGUUAAACCCCCAACUUUCUCAGGUUGACCUCAGAUCAGGUAGGAAUACCCGCUGAACUUAAGCAUAUCAAUAAGCGGAGGA
Molecule: unclassified non-coding RNA, 349 nt
Filed under: soil metagenome
Description: partial contains 5.8S ribosomal RNA, internal transcribed spacer 2, and large subunit ribosomal RNA
Rfam family: 5.8S ribosomal RNA (bases 1-120)
Source: RNAcentral